ACAUAGAUGGUCGAGUGGUCUAAGGCACCUGAAUGAAGAUCAGGCGUAUGGGAGACUGUACCGAGAGUUCGAAUCUCUCUCUAUCCGC
RNAcentral lists this transfer RNA (88 nucleotides) under Aequorivita sp. CIP111184. RNAcentral describes it as "tRNA-Phe". It matches the Rfam family "tRNA". Rfam says of the family: Transfer RNA (tRNA) molecules are approximately 80 nucleotides in length. Their secondary structure includes four short double-helical elements and three loops (D, anti-codon, and T loops). The record is from RNAcentral. Lineage: Bacteria; Pseudomonadati; Bacteroidota; Flavobacteriia; Flavobacteriales; Flavobacteriaceae.